UGGUCCUAACAUUAGUUGCUCUAGAUUCGCCUUGAUAGGCUGAAACAAAUGUUUCCACACGCUUUUGGGGAAAGCAUGCCCAUAGCAUUAAUAAUCUUCUGCCUGUUUCAUCGAUUUUGACUUGCAAUUCCUUCAAGGCGCACACAUAAUUCAGCCUCCAAAGACAACUAGGGGCCAAAAUCCACAAUUUGGAAAACAUGGAGAAUUUGGCUGCACCA
Molecule: long non-coding RNA, 218 nt
Filed under: Elaeis guineensis (African oil palm)
Lineage: Eukaryota; Viridiplantae; Streptophyta; Magnoliopsida; Arecales; Arecaceae
Description: long non-coding RNA (EGUI_LNC042885)
Source: RNAcentral